AUUGAACGCUGGCGGCAUGCUUUACACAUGCAAGUCGAACGGUAACAGGUUAAGCUGACGAGUGGCGAACGGGUGAGUAAUGCAUCGGAACGUGCCCGGUCGUGGGGGAUAACACUUCGAAAGAAGUGCUAAUACCGCAUACGAUCCGAGGAUGAAAGCGGGGGACCGUAAGGCCUCGCGCGAUCGGAGCGGCCGAUGUCAGAUUAGGUAGUUGGUGGGGUAAAGGCUCACCAAGCCGACGAUCUGUAGCUGGUCUGAGAGGACGACCAGCCACACUGGGACUGAGACACAGCCCAGACUCCUACGGGAGGCAGCAGUGGGGAAUUUUGGACAAUGGGCGCAAGCCUGAUCCAGCAAUGCCGCGUGCAGGAAGAAGGCCUUCGGGUUGUAAACUGCUUUUGUACGGAGCGAAAAGGCUCUCUCUAAUACAGGGGACUCAUGACGGUACCGUAAGAAUAAGCACUGGCUAACUACGUGCCAGCCGCCGCGGUAA
RNAcentral lists this ribosomal RNA (493 nucleotides) under uncultured bacterium. RNAcentral's name for it is "partial 16S ribosomal RNA". It matches the Rfam family "Bacterial small subunit ribosomal RNA", at positions 30 to 523 of the family's 1533-position model. The record is from RNAcentral.